CAUCAAAACUACAUUUAUUAAUACACACACACACAGACAUGAAAAUUAGUUUGAGGCCGAGAAGUUUUAUGCUGUCGUUCUUCGUAACUUUUCCACACUUGCCGGUGGAGUUCCCAAAAGCUUCUUCAUAUCUUGCAUUUUUAUCAAUACGCUGUGCUUUCAGGACAGUUUAAUUGAGAUUAAUAUCAUUCUCAGCCUUGAAGCUAUAGUCAAUAUAAUAGGUACACAUUUUAAAAAUACAAAAUUCAAAUUUUUUAAUUAAAGUUAUGACGCGCUGUUUGGCAUUUUUGGUACAGUCCUGGCUUUGGUUAGUGGUACUUCCCAUAUUAGCUGAGAAGCCUUACAUACGAAGUACCGGAAAUUGCGACUACGCAAAAGACCUUAAGCUGAAUUUGGUUUGCCAUAGUUCGGUUACCGACAAUUUGGCGUGCCGUUGGCGUGAUUCAUUGGCGCCGAAGUAUACUAAAUAUUCGGUUUGGCAAACUCCUCCCAAUCAGCCAGGACUCUAUGUAAUUUUGGUGUCAUUCCAUUCAGAUUCAGAACUAUCGAUAGCCAAUGAAAUUUCUAUAGAUCCACAAAAAUAUAUGAUAAAAGGAAAGAAAUCCACA
This is a non-coding RNA of Drosophila virilis, 608 nucleotides long. The record is from RefSeq and is a predicted model, not a curated record. Lineage: Eukaryota; Metazoa; Arthropoda; Insecta; Diptera; Drosophilidae.